CUACGGGCGGCUGCAGUGAGGAAUUUUGCGCAAUGGGGGAAACCCUGACGCAGCAACGCCGCGUGAGCGAAGAAGGCCUUCGGGUCGUAAAGCUCUGUCAAGUGGGAAAAAAAUUCUUUGAUGAACAGUCAAAGGACUUGAUGGUACCACUGGAGGAAGCACCGGCUAACUCCGUGCCAGCAGCCGCGGUAAUACGGAGGGUGCAAGCGUUGCUCGGAAUUACUGGGCGUAAAGAGCGUGUAGGCGGUUUGACAAGUCAGAUGUGAAAGCCCCGGGCUCAACCCGGGAAGUGCAUUUGAAACUGUUUCACUAGAGUAUGGGAGAGGAGAUUGGAAUUCCUGGUGUAGAGGUGAAAUUCGUAGAUAUCAGGAGGAACACCCGUGGCGAAGGCGAUUCUCUGGACCAAUACUGACGCUGAGACGCGAAAGCGUGGGGAGCAAACAGGAUUAGAUACCCCGGUAGUC
Molecule: ribosomal RNA, 464 nt
Filed under: uncultured bacterium
Lineage: Bacteria
Description: partial 16S ribosomal RNA
Rfam family: Bacterial small subunit ribosomal RNA
Source: RNAcentral